RNAcentral lists this ribosomal RNA (254 nucleotides) under uncultured prokaryote. RNAcentral describes it as "partial 16S ribosomal RNA". It matches the Rfam family "Bacterial small subunit ribosomal RNA", at positions 524 to 776 of the family's 1533-position model. The record is from RNAcentral.
UACGUAGGGGGCAAGCGUUGUCCGGAUUUAUUGGGCGUAAAGAGCGUGUAGGCGGCUAGGACAAGUCACUUGUGAAAUCUCCGGGCUUAACUCGGAACGGUCAAGUGAUACUGUCGGGCUAGAGUACAGAAGGGGCAACUGGAAUUCUCGGUGUAGCGGUGAAAUGCGUAGAUAUCGAGAGGAACACCUGCGGCGAAGGCGGGUUGCUGGGCCGACACUGACGCUGAAGCGCGAAAGCUAGGGGAGCAAACGGG